Molecule: ribosomal RNA, 426 nt
Filed under: uncultured bacterium
Lineage: Bacteria
Description: bacterial SSU rRNA
Rfam family: Bacterial small subunit ribosomal RNA
Source: RNAcentral
UGGGGAAUUGUUCGCAAUGGGCGCAAGCCUGACGACGCAACGCCGCGUGGAGGAUGAAGGUCUUCGGAUUGUAAACUCCUGUUGAUCGGGACGAACAACCAUCGGGAUAACACCCCGGAGGUCUGACGGUACCGAUUGAGGAAGCCCCGGCUAACUCUGUUCCAGCAGCCGCGGUAAUACAGAGGGGGCAAGCGUUGUUCGGAAUUACUGGGCGUAAAGGGCGCGUAGGCGGCCAUCUAAGUCAGACGUGAAAUCCCCCGGCUUAACCUGGGAACUGCGUCUGAUACUGGACGGCUUGAGUAUGGGAGAGGGAUGUAGAAUUCCAGGUGUAGCGGUGAAAUGCGUAGAUAUCUGGAGGAAUACCGGUGGCGAAGGCGGCAUCCUGGACCAUUACUGACGCUGAGGCGCGAAAGCUAGGGGAGCAAA